This 565-nucleotide ribosomal RNA is filed under the name uncultured bacterium. RNAcentral's name for it is "partial 16S ribosomal RNA". It matches the Rfam family "Bacterial small subunit ribosomal RNA", at positions 355 to 912 of the family's 1533-position model. The record is from RNAcentral.
UGGGGAAUUUUGGACAAUGGGGGAAACCCUGAUCCAGCCAUCCCGCGUGUGCGAUGAAGGCCUUCGGGUUGUAAAGCACUUUUGGCAGGAAAGAAACGUCGCGGGUUAAUACCCCGCGAAACUGACGGUACCUGCAGAAUAAGCACCGGCUAACUACGUGCCAGCAGCCGCGGUAAUACGUAGGGUGCAAGCGUUAAUCGGAAUUACUGGGCGUAAAGCGUGCGCAGGCGGUUCGGAAAGAAAGAUGUGAAAUCCCAGAGCUUAACUUUGGAACUGCAUUUUUAACUACCGGGCUAGAGUGUGUCAGAGGGAGGUGGAAUUCCGCGUGUAGCAGUGAAAUGCGUAGAUAUGCGGAGGAACACCGAUGGCGAAGGCAGCCUCCUGGGAUAACACUGACGCUCAUGCACGAAAGCGUGGGGAGCAAACAGGAUUAGAUACCCUGGUAGUCCACGCCCUAAACGAUGUCAACUAGCUGUUGGGGGCCUUCGGGCCUUGGUAGCGCAGCUAACGCGCGAAGUUGACCGCCUGGGGAGUACGGUCGCAAGAUUAAAACUUAAAUGAAUUG